Non-coding RNA from Microcebus murinus (gray mouse lemur), 8190 nucleotides. The record is from RefSeq and is a predicted model, not a curated record. Lineage: Eukaryota; Metazoa; Chordata; Mammalia; Primates; Cheirogaleidae.
UUACAGGCAUGAGCCACAGCACCUGCCAUGGGUCAUGGUGAUUUCUAUGGCCCACUCAGAACUUCCUUUGGCCAUGUCAGCCUCUUUUCAGUCAGGUAUAUAUUAAAUAACACUCCCCAUUAUUUUUACUUCAAUUGUUAUCUGUCAGGGCAAAGCUAUUGUUUCUGUUAACCUAAAUUGCCAAUAGACAAAGAUUGUUUUCUCUCAAUUUCAUCUUCAACAAAACUUGACUUUGGAUGUUUCUCCUGUGCUGUCAUAUCCAAGAUGUGGUCAUCCCAGCAAAAGCAAACAUCUUCCAAAGGUCAGGGCAAUGGGUUUGGGUAAAACCCUAUGCUUAUACCAAGGGGCUGGUGCUCAUGUGGAUGCAUGAGUGAUGUGUAUGUGCACGCAUGUGUAUGUGUGUAUGUGAGCUUGACCUUUAAGUUAGAAGGCCAUUUGACCUUUAAAUUAGAAGAUCACAUUCCCCGUGGGGCCCUGCUAAAGGAAGGUCCUCCAGCAGCCUGGGUGCUCUUAGUUAGACUCCAGAGUGGAUGGAUAGUCUCUUGCCAUCAUCCCAGAUCUUCUCUUCAUUCUCUCCCUCUCAUUUUUCAUGAUGUGAAUCCACAUCAUGGUCUGUUUCAAAGUUGAAAGAGACAAGGAUUUUCAAAGGCCAGAUGGCGUUUUCAAUGAAUUUAAUGACCUAAUCCUCACAAAGGUACUUGCAGCUACCUGUCUUGAUAAUCAACUGGCCAGGUGGGUAAAUGGGCAUAAGCUGUCAAUAAAUGUCUAUGUCCUUGGAGUUUUAGUGAUUUAGGGAGAAAAAAUAUCAUACGUUAUUAUUAUUUUCCCCAAGUAGCACACUGGCCCCUGGAGAGGGGAAUGCUGGUAGUUGUGUGAGAAGCAGCAGAAAUGAGGAGGAAGGAAGGGAGGAAUAUUUGAUUAUUUCUUCAUAAACAACCAAUUCCUUCAGCACCUGCUAUGGUUUCUGCUGUUGUGAGAAGAAUAUCAAUGGCUUCAAUAUUCCAUUGUUUGUGGCUGGGAAGCAUUUGCUUGCUGUUCUGGGCUGCCCGGUUUUCAGACUGGCCAGAGGGCAGAAAAUGUGGCAGAUAUAAAAGGAAAACUUUAGCCAAAAUGCCUUAAAUCAGGUUAGCUUUCCCCUUAAAGCCCACUCUGGAAUUCCUGCCUCUCCCCCUGCUCCCCCCUUUGUUUCUUCACAAGCCUCUGGUUGAUUUUCAGCUGCAUUUGUUUGCCCUGAAGAGUGGCAGACUCUUAAGUGUCCAGGUUCUACCGUUCUCCCAUGAAUGUUGUUAGCUUUUUUAAAUUUUUAAACAGCCUACUUUAUUUUGAUGAAAUCUUUAUUUUCUUCAGUAACACUAAUGCCAAGGAAUGAUUGGUGAAUACAAAUGAAAGAAACAGAUCACAAAACAGAGGCAAAAAAGACAGGGAAGGAGAAGUUAUAUGCUGAAUGGAUAAAUUUGAAAUGUCUAGUUACCACAAGGUGGCACUGUUAAAACACCUCAUUUUAAAGUCCUAAAAAAGGUUGCAAAUAGGACAACACAAAAUUAAAGAGCCUUUCACAAAGAAAAUAUUUUGUAUCAAGAGUGGAGUGUGCGAGGCGCUUAUUUGUGUAUGUGAGUGUGUGUGUUGAAAUGUAAUCUUUUAAAGAUGAAGCAAAUAUUAAUAUUAUGGGGAGUGGUGAUAAAAUUUUGUGUGUGUGUGAGAAAGGCAUUUCAGGAUUGAUACUAAUAACUUUAAUACUAAAAUUUUAUAUUGAAUUUUAAAUACAUUUAAUCCCAACCAGUCCUUUUCUGGAAUCUUUCUGAUGCAUGACAUUGUAGCCAUCAGAAUGAUGGGUUAAAUUUACCAUUCCUCAAUCCACUUUCCUUUUACAUGGAGAGCUUGCACACUAGAGGCAUUUAUUUGAAAACAAUUAGUGCCCCAUUAGGGGAAACAUGAAGCCUGCAGGUCUCAGAUAUUCUUGACUGCUUUGGAAACUUGUUGUGCAGAAAGUUGGUAAAUUAAUACUCUAUGGAAAAGAAUUCUUUAAAACAUGUUGUCUAUUAUGUGACUCCCAGAUGCCAAUACCAUUGUUAUUUAAAGUGAACAUUUUCAUGUUUGUGCAUUCUGUGUGUGCCUAGGGUAUCCAUUUACUGACAGAGAGAUGAAAAGCUGAUAUUUCACAAGUUAGUACAUUAAAGAUGGGGUAUUGAUACAAUGGUCUAGAUAAUCUUACUCUUAAAGAAACGCUGGGAGUGGAAAGUGAGCUAAUGCAAAAAAGUAGAAAUGCCACGAACUUUACACUGAUGGUCCCUUGUUUUGCCCUCAGAACAGCAAUCUCAAUCAGAUGAUGUUGCUAUCUCCACUCUUAAGGUGAGGCUCCAAGAAGUUAAAUAACCUGUCGACUGUCACAAAGCCACUAUGUGGCAGAAUCAGGAGUUAAGCUCCAAAAUUACUUUAGAAAAAAAUGCAGAAAAGUGAAAGGGAAAAAGGUCUAGGUUGUUUUGCAAUUUGUAUUUAGAUAAAACCUAGUAAAAUAAUGUAGAUAUUCUUGAAAGAAAGAGGAGACAGGCCUGCUCUGUUCCAGUGCCUUCUCCACAACCAGAUGAAGGGUAUGCAUAUCGCAUUAUUUAUAUAGAUUUUCCUACUUAUCUUACAUAAUUUUUUAUCAGCUUCUAUCUCAGCAUAACCAUAACAUUGUCCACCAUCCACAAAGCCUUGGAAACCUGCUGGAUUUUGCCAUACCUGGGGAAGAGAGUACAGGUUGCUCAUGACACCUGUAGCUGUGAUAGCUCCCAGAUAAUUCAUACUACAGAGGCAUUGGCCCAGCUGGAAAUGAAAUUCAUGACAUAGAAAUCAACUGGUUCCUACUUGGGAAAAGAUUAUGUUAAUGAGAAUGUGUAACUCCAAAGAUAUUGCCUGGUAUAUAUUAGACACUCAACAUGAUGGCAGAAUCUGAGUGGAUAGCAAUAUAAAAAAAACCCCAACUUUGUAUUGUUUUGAAGCAUCUGAAGCACUAUAUAUUUAUUAUCAGACUUUCUAAUUAAAUCAUAUUUAGGGUAAUCUCCUGUGGAAUAUGCCUUUUGCAUUUCUUUUCAUGAGGCCCCACUCCUCCCCAGUAUCAAGAAACAACAGAGGAAAAGGAAAAUUACCAAAUGUAGAGUCAGGCAUCAAACUGGUUUUUAGCCUAAAUUUUGCAGAGAUGCCUCAGUGUCCACCUGGGAAGUUAUGUGGAGGGAAAGAUUGUGUAUGGCGGCAAAGGUGUGCCUAGAGGGAGUACACGGGAAGGUGGGCUUUGCCGCCCCCCCUAACUUGUAUUGGAGCAGGUGGGCAAUUUCUGAGACAGCUGAUAUUUCUGAUAGUAUGCUUAAAUAUAUGGAAUAUUUGAUUAUGAUGUCAAGACCUAUAUACAUCAGGGAUCUAAGAGAUUUAUUGGGCACAAUUCAUCAUGUUAUACUUAAAAUAUUCAGACACUUUGAUGAUAUUUUAAAAAAUGAGAAAAGAUUCCCUGCGUCCUAUGGCUAUUAGAGUUGAAGGUGACAUAAUAUUUGAGGAAAAAAAAGUCAUUACAGAUCUCAGAGAGAUGCAUCACAGAGGAACUGAAUUCCUAAUUUGAUAAAAAAAAUGGGAGGAAUCUGAUCCUCUGAUGAUGAAUCAGCUGGAGGCUGAUUAAUACAGAAGUAAGAGCAACUAGGAAGUGUUUUGACAGAAGCAGAAGACCUGGGGUUUAUGUUGAAGUUUCUGAUUAUGUCCUCUAAUGGUUCAAAUAUUGAUAGGAAUUCCAUUUAUUUAUUUGUUCCUUUGCUCAUUUGUUUGCUUACAUGUAUUCCAAAGAGGUCUGCAUGCCAACGGUAGAGAGGGAAAUCAGAAGACUUGGAUCCACUGCCAGGUGCAGUGAUUCACUUGGAUCAUUCUUUGCUUAUGAGAAAGAUGUGUUGUUUAUAUUCUAGCCUAUUAGUUGUGUUUGUCUUUGGUGUCGAAAAUGUGCCACCUGCCUGUUGAUCCAAUUGCACUGUUGCCAUUUGCCUGUUUUGCUAAUGAUUUGCUGCAGUUGAAACGUGGUAUGACUUGGUCUCGUUCCCAGCUCCUGAAGACCACAGGAAACAGACAGGUACCUGCCUGAUCCUCCAGGGCUGCAGACAUUCCUCGGCAAGCGCUGUGCAGUACGUGCUGUUCCUCCUGGGUCAUGCCCGCCUCCAGCUGUCAGGCCCUCACCCUGGAGGGCUUGGGGGAUACAUGGGAGAAUUUUGUUGAUUUGGGCUCAAGGUCAAGCAAGUUAUUUUAGAAACCUUAGGAGAUUUAGUUUAAGAAAUAUUAAAAGGUCUCAUAAAAGAAGUUUGUAGAGUUGGCUGGUUUGUUAAUGAGACUGAAGAGCCAUACGUUAUCUUGGUAUUUGAUCAGUUAAUAAAUUAUUUCAAUAUGAUGUCUCUUUUUUUCUUAAUUUUUUUUCCCCUAACAGUAAAGGGUUGCCAAGAAUAUUGCAGAGUCUUUGGUAAUCUCCUGUGGAAUAUGCCUUUUGCAUUUCUUUUCAUGAGGCCCCACUCCUCCCCAGUAUCGAGAAACAACAGAGGAAAAGAAAAAUUACCAAAUGUAGAGUCAGGCAUCAAACUGAGACUUUUGGGCUCCGAGUCCAGGACACCAUUUUCACAUUAUAAAUAGACAAGUAGGUAUUUAAUAGCUAAUGAACAAGAACUUGAGAUUGUGGCUCCGUUUUUUUUUUGUUUUUGUUUUUCUGAGAUUCACAUAUACCAAGUAUCAGAGAACAGCCCCCAAAGUGCACAUUUAUUACUAAUUUAUUAGUAAGAAUAAUGCACUAAAUCUCAUUCCAUACUAGAAAUGAAGUGGUCUAAAACAAUAACACAACAAUAAAGUAAUGGUAAAAUGUAAGAUUGAGGAACUAGAAGAUAAAGAUCAGGAUAAAAAGGCUGAUACGAGGUUUACCCAAGAACUUCUAGGAUGUUCUGAGGGUUAAGGCAGCUGUUGCAAUUCAGCCUCAUAUCUGGAAGCAAGCCAAACUGAAUCCAAGUGUAAAAGGGACCACAAGACAAAAACUAAGGAAUACAGAAGCUUUCUCUGACAAAAAUAUCAUUUCUGAGUGCUUAGAGUUUGCAUUUCUCCUUAAAUCACUCAUUUCACUGCACACUCGAUAGUAAAAAAGUUUAACGGGAUUAAUUUGCCUGAAUACUAAAUCAGUAUUUUUAGGGAGCAGGGCCCUAAACAGGUAAGUUUUUUGCUGGCAAAAGAAGGUCAGGUCAGGAGCUCAGCACCCUGAAGCUGACAUCCAGCGGGGCAACUCAAGAGCCUUGGCACCUGGGCAGGGAGACAGAGUGGGGAGCUGAGGGGCUCUGCGACAAAGGUGAGCUACAGCCAUCUUUGUUUUUGUUUUCUAGCGUUGGUUCUAAAGAAAUAGAUCACAAAAUACAAAGGAGGAGAGGAUUUAUAAUUGCUUUGUAGAGAAAUAAUGUUUGCUUAAUUCUGAGAAAAGAUAGAAAAUGAACAAGGGAUGCCUUCUUUCGACAAGAAAAUAUGUAAUACUUUUAUUUGGCAUUUCAGCUGUAACAGGAUCAUUCUAAUAAGGCUAAGUUAAGAUUCAGGGAAGCAAAGAAUUCAGCUUAGCAUGAUUUUAUUUCCCAGUUUCUCACAAACUUUCAUGUGUCAUAUUGUGAUUCAAGGAACAGGUAUCAGCAAAUGACCUUGGGUACCCGCUCUGGGUUGCCUUGACAAUGAUUCAGCUUUCUCUCUCCCAGAGGGAGAUGCUGUGCCGAAGCUCAGCUUCUUUCAACUGGCAUCUAAACCCAGACCACCUGGCAUGCAGGAGUCUGUCUGUACUCUCUGUAACAAGGCCACUUUAUCAUGUGUCCUUAAAAAAAGUACAGAGAUGGGGCUUGGGUUCCUUUACUGGAAUGUAAGCCACACUGUUUAGCAGUGACGUUGGCCCACAAUGGGGGGCCGAGGGAACAAUGGGUGACCCCAGUCUCCUCUAUUCUUGCUGAACCUAGCUGUGCAAGUCUCCUUUUUCUCCAGUAAAGCUCUUUCCUUAACCCAUGCUCUGAGACAUUAUGGAGUUCCUUCUAAGCUCCAUGCUUGACAGGUGCAAUCCAUGAGAGACCCACUUUCAGAACAGUUGCUCUGAAGGCAACAGGAAUGGCAGUCUUUGAGAGCCCAGGUUUAAAUUGUGACCCCGAGGUCCCUAGAAUAACACAGAAAAAUGGCACUUUCUUUAUUAUUAAAAAUCCUCUUGUGUUCAGGGUUAACUCUUAUCCUGAAGCUAAUAGACUCUUCUAGAUGCCACUAUAGCCCCACAGGUUAAAAUGCUCCCUCUACUUAAAUUCUCAUCUCAUUACUGUUAAUUGUGUUUUUCUCUGUAGGUAAGUACUAAGUAGGCCAUAAAAAGAAGUGCUUCUGGUCAAAUUUCAUACUGACUCCCAUGCGAAUGAUACAGAACACUGUGGAAGGCCUCGCCAACGCAAUCACUGUCACUAAUUAUUAUUUAUCCAGCUCUGCCGGCUGCAUACUGAGUGAGCCCCAGCAUUGGUGACAAAUACGGGUUCUAAUGUCAUGAAAACAGUACAGCCUCAUGCGAGUGUAAGUCACCACUUGGUGCCGUGUUCCUCUCCCCAGGUGGACGGAUCCUUCUAAAGUCCUGGAUCGUAUUAACCAGUGCCCCCGUGCCUUUAACUCAUUACCACUUUUUGAAAGGUCACCUCACCAAACAGGGGUCCACAAGGCCGCACGCUAAGCCCGUGAGCAGCUGCGAGCCGUAUCGUCUGCACAGUUGAGCGAGGCAGGAACUUUGAACUGGGACCCGAUUUCACCCCGAAGAUGUGCUCCUCCUCGGAGGGAAGCUGGGCACCCGAGAUGACCCGGCUCCCUUCCGGGAGGAAGGCCACAGCUCACAUUUGACAGCAGGAGGCUGCAGGUCAGUGGGGUGAUGACCCGGCCCUCAGAGACCUGCGCUCGCUCUCUGCAGAACCCCAUAAAUCCUUCAAAAGGAAAUAAGUAAUUCCCUCAGGAUCAAGAGGGCCCUUCACAUUCUUGAAAUAAAUGAAGGCAAAAUGUACAGGGAUUUCUGAGAAAAGUAAAUGUGGUGUGAGCAUGAUUCCUGGGUGUUACUAUGCUGCAGAGAAAGCUUUUUUUUUUUUUCCCCUCCUCUGAAUGGUGUUCUUUGCUCUCAAGUUAACUCAUGCGCUGGAUUCCUUCCAAGUACAUUUUGUUUCUUGAUUUCCAGCCAGGCUUCUCUCAGUUGUGGUGCAUUCUCUUCUUCGCUCCCCUCCUUCCCCUGGCCCUUUCUCUCUUUUUAUAAUCCUUUCAACUUUUCCAUGGGACUGAACUGCUACAGAGGAAAACCCACCGGCCCGGGCAGGGCGUCCACCAGGGCGAGGCGGGGGAUCCUGUGCGAGCAGCCGGCCCCUCGCUCAGCAGCGGCCUGCUCGGCGCACUCUGUCUGCGGCAGCUGAAGCAGAAAGCGUUUGAACUCUGCCCCCUGCCAAACGAUCUCCAGAUGUGCGAACCCCAGCCUCCCGCCGCACUCCCACUGUAGCCCUGCCAGCGUACAUCUGCAGAUUCCUAGCGCACAGGAAACUUGAAAGAGUAUCUUUUACAACAUCUGCUGUCUUUCCCAGCUCUCCCUCUCUGCCUUCUCGGACUUUGCCCUGCAUUUUAUCUGCUCCCUUGAACAAGUCCAUUGAAGCGUAGUGGCACAGCUCUGCUCGGCUCACAGAUGCCAGCUUGGCUGUCUCACCCAGGGCCUGUUCUUGGCUCUCUGGACAGUUGACCAAAGCACCAGUAGAAUCACUAAAGAAGCUUAUUGGACUCCCCGAAAGAGAAGAGAACCCAGUUUUCUCCAUUGGGUUGGUGCCAGUCCACAGGCUGCAAAGGGAGAUUUGGGCCAUAAGGUCAGAGUGGAGCCCUAAAGAUGAAACACAAGUCUCCAGAAGAGUUCUCCUGCUGCACUUCCUUGAGAGAAGCUGAGGGUUGCUUUUAGAGAGAACCUUUUUGCAUAGACAUUCAGUUUCUUGGAAUAAAUAAGGCCGACUUCUGCAAAGUGGGAAGUAUUGGGGUGCAGAUAGGUUCUUGGCCUCCCCCUUCCCCGGGGCAUGGUAGCCAUCAAGCGAAGAGGCCAGAAGAGGACCUUUGUUGUAAUGGCACUCAGAAUGGGGGCAGGAACAAAAGGGCCAGAGACCCUUUUAGCAUAAUGGAGCAGAAGAUUUUUUA